This is a regulatory RNA element of Enterococcus pallens ATCC BAA-351, 131 nucleotides long. It matches the Rfam family "Ribosomal protein L20 leader". Rfam says of the family: This family is a putative r-protein leader autoregulatory structure found in B. subtilis and other low-GC Gram-positive bacteria. It is located in the 5' untranslated regions of mRNAs encoding initiation factor 3 followed by ribosomal proteins L35 and L20 (infC-rpmI-rplT). NCBI's taxonomy places the organism in Bacteria, Bacillati, Bacillota, Bacilli, Lactobacillales, Enterococcaceae. The record is from Rfam.
AAAUGAAAGCAGAAGCACCCGCUUCUCGCCUUACGCGAACAUCUCGCUGGGCUAGAUAGUUAAUGACUCGUCUGUAGGGAUGAGUAUGGCUAAGUUGCGGGUUCAGUAUGAACUCGUUUUUUUUGUGCCGA